AGAUUAUGAUGUAGUAGGUCUACACUUUGAUUGCAGAUCUUAAGUCUGAGGUUCAAUUCCUCCAUAAUCUU
RNAcentral lists this transfer RNA (71 nucleotides) under Pestalotiopsis fici. Its description in RNAcentral is "tRNA-Cys". Lineage: Eukaryota; Fungi; Ascomycota; Sordariomycetes; Amphisphaeriales; Sporocadaceae. The record is from RNAcentral.